UUUCAAUAAUCCGUACCCGAACCGGCUAUCAAACCCAAAGCCCAAAUGCGAACCCAAAUCUGAACCAGAUUACUAAACUUGAAAUCCGAAGCCAAACCGAAUCCGAUAGAGUUUAAAAAUCUACAGCUAAAUCCGAAUCUGACCAAAAAUUAAAAACACAAACUCGAAACCGAAACAAUUAUAUUUCUUUACCAUAUUUUCAAAACAUAUUAUAUUAAACCCGAAAUUUUAAAAUAAAAAUUUAAAUGUAACAUCACAUCAUAUACCACGUAAUAUAAAAUCAAUUUGGGUUCGGAUCGGACAUAGAAAAAUUGAUAUCCAAAUUCAAAUCCGUUGGAUUUUUCCUUUUUUAUAUUCGUAUCCGAAAACUAUUUUCGUUUAAUAUCAAAUAAAUAUGUUCUGUUCAAAUUCGGAGUUAGAUUCGAAUAAAAUUUCGGGUAACCGUACGGAUUGACAUCCCUAAAUUGAAGUCAAAACCAAACUAAUGAUAUGAAAAGAGGAACCAUACCGAACCGAAAAUUUUAAUUUGGGGUUUUUUAUUUAGGCUUAGUUUGGUAUUGAGAUCUAUCAAACGCUAUUAGAUAAAAUGAAGUUAAGGAAAAAGUAUAUAAGGAUAUGCUCCUGCGUUCUUCGGUAGGACCGCAAAAAAUAUAUCGUAACCGACUCAUCGCGAUAUACGGAACGCAAUAUUACGUACUGAACCAAACAGGAUAUUUUUCCAACGUAUUUUCUCACGCACGUAGCGCAAUCUCCCUACCAUCCCAAACAAAGCCUAAAGUUCGUUUGGUUUAGAUGUUUGGAUUUUUUUUAAAGACAG
This 817-nucleotide long non-coding RNA is filed under the name Ananas comosus (pineapple). Its description in RNAcentral is "long non-coding RNA (ACOM_LNC019874)". The record is from RNAcentral. Lineage: Eukaryota; Viridiplantae; Streptophyta; Magnoliopsida; Poales; Bromeliaceae.